CAGACGGGCCCGCGCUGAUAUUGGGUUAAUAUGUCCCUCUUUUGCUGUCUGCUUCUCAUGAUGGUUUGUCUACCGAUGGGUGGGGAUUGCUUGAAGUCUGACCUCUGUGAUUCAGGUUGCGCUGACAUCCCCAGCUCUGACUUGUCCUAUCAAAGAGGGAUGAAGUUUACUUACAGGUUCAGCACAACAGUUACCACAACCCUGCAAGGCUCUAAUGCGGGCAGAGCUGGACUGGCUCUGGACUGUGUGGUUGAUAUCG
Synchiropus splendidus (mandarinfish) is the source of this 259-nucleotide long non-coding RNA. RefSeq lists it as uncharacterized. The transcript is spliced from 3 exons. The record is from RefSeq and is a predicted model, not a curated record. NCBI's taxonomy places the organism in Eukaryota, Metazoa, Chordata, Actinopteri, Syngnathiformes, Callionymidae.